GAUGAAGAACGUAGCGAAAUGCGAUAAGUAAUGUGAAUUGCAGAAUUCAGUGAAUCAUCGAAUCUUUGAACGCACAUUGCGCCCGCCAGCACUCUGGCGGGCAUGCCUGUUCGAGCGUCAUUUCAACCAUCAAGCCCCCAGGGGCUUGUGCUGGGGCCCUGCGGCUGCCCGCAGGCCCUGAAAACCAGUGGCGGGCUCGCUAGUCACACCGAGCGCAGUAGCACAUCUCGCUCAGGGCGUGUGGCGGGCUCCUGCCGUGAAACCCCCCACUGUAACCCCAAAGGUUGACCUCGGAUCAGGUAGGAAUACCCGCUGAACUUAAGCAUAUCAAUAAGCGGAGGA
Molecule: unclassified non-coding RNA, 342 nt
Filed under: soil metagenome
Description: partial contains 5.8S ribosomal RNA, internal transcribed spacer 2, and large subunit ribosomal RNA
Rfam family: 5.8S ribosomal RNA (bases 1-120)
Source: RNAcentral